CCUCCCCCGGGUCGGCUGAGGGGCUGAAACACAACACGCGAGGGAGCCUCGCGUUCUCGGAUCCCAUGCACAUGCUGUUUCUUGGUAUUAGUGCUGCCUGAGGAGGUGCUUCACCACUGCUUUUCUCUGGACCCCGCCUUCCUGCCAAUGGGAACUGUAUCUCAAGGACCAAUAAGUCACAGUGUGCAGUUUUCACCCUUGGUUUCUACGCACUAGAAGAUGGAAUGUGGAUGGUACCUUUGGUCCAGGCACAGAUCUUCCAGGAGGGCCUGGCAUUCCAAGACGUCCUGGUGCACCAGGCUCCCCCUGCAGUGAAGGUUUGGGUGUCAGGGAGAACAGGGAGAACAGUAGCAAUGCUUGGGGUGAAGUAGAUAGACUGCAGAGAUGAACCAACCUUUUGUCCAGGGGCUCCAUCUUCUCCUGGAAGACCAGGCAGACCUGCCAGUCCUGAAGGCCCUGGAUCACCCUGACAUCAGUAAAAACCCCUGUCACAAAUCCCUAAUAAACAAGAGCAAAACCAGGACAGCCUCGUGCCUUUCCACUGUCACAAAAGUACUUUUUCAUCGAUUCCCCUAUUCUGUGUUAAUCUGGCUGUUAAUGACAUAGGGACUGGUCUUGGGCUCUUGGCUGGGACUAUCUUGGGCACUUCAGCACUAAAAUAAUCUGGUUAUAGCUUCCUCUCCUCUUAGCAACUCAGCUGUUCUUUCUGUCCACCAGCACAGCUUGUUUCUCGUAUGAAGGUGUGAGGAUGUAGCCAUAUUCUGUGUGGAAAGGGAAGGGGCAGCACAAUAACCACUGUUCAGGGCUUUUUUUUCACCUCACUGGCUGCAGCAUAGCUUACAGUUGGGGCUGCAAAUGCUGGCAGCUGUUUAAUAUUCUGGAUGGUUUUCUGCACAGAACUGUGGGUGAGCUGUGUGCAACAAUGACUUGAGCAUGAGCCAGGCAGAUGGAAGUUUCCAGUCACCAUAAGUCUUACUAUUUUUUAUGGAACAGGAGUAUUCAAAAUGCUGCCAUAUCUGGAGGUUACUGGAAGUCUGUGUUAAAAAUUCAAAAGACUAAGAACCUAAAAUUUAUUUCUAAACCUGUGUUUAUGUGGCUUCAGAAAGCAUACUCAGGAAAUAUAAAUUUAUAAUCCAAAUGAAUAAAUAGAUUAAAUAAUUUCUCCAUUAACAAUGUACCUUAGAACCAGGUUCUCCAAUUCCUCUUUCUCCUGGCACUCCAGUCUCUCCUGGCAAGCCUUGUUCACCCUUAAGCAGAUAUUAAUUUUAACAGCAUUAUUAUGAAAAAUAUAAAAGCAUAUGUUUCAUUGCUUAAAUUUUAAGAAAGAUUAGUGUAAUAUUGUCUAUAGUAAGAAGUGUUAAAUCCUUGGUCACAAAGAUUGGGAAUUUGCCACAUGUUUUGAGCUGUUGGUGGAAAUCAUUAAUGCUGUAAAUCUACACUUGUAUGUCCCCGGGAAUCUUUCCUGGCAAAGAGCUGAUAUUUCAGGAGCAUAUAUGACAUUCAAAGACAAUUCUUUUUUUUUUUUUUUACUUUUUAGCAGUGGUAAUCAUAUCCCUGCACAAUCACUUAAAAUGUAAGAGGUGAUACUUGAUUCUGCAAAUGUCUUUACUUGUCACGGACACUUGACCCACUUACACCUCUAGUUUCUUUAUACCAUGCUUUAAUAGCCUUCAGUCAUCCAGAACUUUGUCACAUCUUUCAGGAAACUACUUUAAAUUUCCAUUCCAAACACCUCUAGGGUGAUGUCUUUCAUUAACAGUUCUGUAUUUUGUGAAUCAUUUAAGACUAAAUUAUUCUGACAAUGUUUUUUUGAGAAAAAGUAGUCUUCCUUACACCUUGGACCAUUUUUAACAUCUAGAUAGAUACACAAAUUAAGGUGAGAAAAUAAGUAGCAGAAGUUGCAAGGAAGGCGGGCAAUCUCUAAUGUAUCUAUGUAUGGAUUUUUCUGGAAUGGAAACAGUACAGUGAGAAUAAAAGAUGAUUUGGAAAUUGGGAGAGUCCUCUCUUUUAGUGCAACUAGUUUUUGUAACAGGUUUACUGCACCUCUACGUAAUAUCAAGAAACCACAAGCUCAAGGCAGACAGCCCUCUCAGUGGAAGUGUAUCAGACGAAGUGCAGCUCACUGUCUUGUAUGUGGUACUUGAAAGCUUCUGUGCGAGUCAAGCAAAAACCUAAAUAAAUAGCCAAUAAAUGGCUAUUUUACCAAGG
Molecule: long non-coding RNA, 2208 nt
Organism: Vidua macroura (Pin-tailed whydah)
Lineage: Eukaryota; Metazoa; Chordata; Aves; Passeriformes; Viduidae
Exons: 5
Source: RefSeq, a predicted model, not a curated record